Molecule: ribosomal RNA, 468 nt
Filed under: uncultured bacterium
Lineage: Bacteria
Description: partial 16S ribosomal RNA
Rfam family: Bacterial small subunit ribosomal RNA
Source: RNAcentral
GACGAACGCUGGCGGCGUGCUUAACACAUGCAAGUCGAACGGAAAGGCCCUGCUUUUGUGGGGUGCUCGAGUGGCGAACGGGUGAGUAACACGUGAGUAACCUGCCCUUGACUUUGGGAUAACUUCAGGAAACUGGGGCUAAUACCGGAUAGGAGCUCCUGCUGCAUGGUGGGGGUUGGAAAGUUUCGGCGGUUGGGGAUGGACUCGCGGCUUAUCAGCUUGUUGGUGGGGUAGUGGCUUACCAAGGCUUUGACGGGUAGCCGGCCUGGGAGGGUGACCGGCCACAUUGGGACUGAGGUACGGCCCAGACUCCUACCGGAGGCAGCAGUGGGGAAUAUUGCACAAUGGGCGGAAGCCUGAUGCAGCAACGCCGCGUGCGGGAUGACGGCCUUCGGGUUGUAAACCGCUUUCGCCUGUGACGAAGCGUGAGUGACGGUAAUGGGUAAAGAAGCACCGGCUAACUACGUG